This 2898-nucleotide long non-coding RNA is filed under the name Mus musculus (house mouse). Its description in RNAcentral is "long non-coding RNA chr4:97772647-97775545". Lineage: Eukaryota; Metazoa; Chordata; Mammalia; Rodentia; Muridae. The record is from RNAcentral.
GAGAGAGAGAGAGAGAGAGAGAGAGAGAGAGAGAGAGAGAGAGAGCUCUGCCAUCCUUGGUAGAAGCCUUUUGAUUUGGAGUUUAAAAAAAAAAUAUCCAAGAAGCCUGCAAUUGGCCAGCAGCUUAAAAAAAUCUCUUCCGGGUUUUCAACGGUUCCAAGUUUAUUUAGCUAUUUUUUUUAAUGCAAAAAAACAGGGACAAGCGAUGAAGCAAUUCGUCUGAGCAUUUUAAAGUUUCUCACGUACUCUUUUUACAUUGCAAUGGUACGUGGUACAUCUUAAACUUUCUAUUUUACAUUUAUACGAUAUGUGUUAUAUAAACAACGGUAGAAUGUUUAUGCUUAAUGGUUAAGACUUUAAAAUUUUUCUAGCUCGAAUAUGCACUUUAGUGAUUGCUGGGUAAAUGUCUAUUGCGAUGGUUUUCUUUUAAAGAUGCAGCUUUGUGGAUCGUGUUUUUGUUAUGUGCAGCAGAGAGAUCGGGUUUCUCUUUCUUUCUUUCUUUCUUUUUUUUUUCCAGGAUUUGAAAAAAUUGCUGAGCUUAACAGAUUUUUUUUCCUGCUAGCGCUUGCUCCGUUCCAGAAAAGGGGGGGAGGGGGAGGGGGAUCCUGUACGUGCUCUGCUCUGUUAAAGACGUCUGGCCUCUGCAGUCAACCUAACCCGAAAAGAAAUGUCUGGACCCGAGAAUAAUUGACGAUUCGAUCCUCUAAUCAAUGGGACAACCUGCGAGAUUGACAGAAGUUCUAUCCAAUCAUGAGAAAGCUUGGGCAUACAGUGGUUCGUAAUAGCCAUAGGGGGCGGGGCAAAUGAGAUCUGAAGUUCUCUGCAGUUCUGAAGGGGAUGGUGUAUAGUUCAAGCUGUCAAAGAUACCAGCGCUUCCGGAUUUAGCAAUUACAAUAGGAAAGAGGGGUGUUUUUUUGGUUGUUGUUGUUAGUUUAAAGGAGAAAAGAGGCUGUUGGGGGGUUGCAUGGCUCCUAUGUGACUUUUAACUUUGCUCCUUUGGAAAAUUCUGCUAGAGUAAUAUUUAACCUUGCAUUAGUUAUUCUCAGAACUCAGGGAAGUUGGGAACUCGUAGGAGAGGUUUAGCUUCUUUGAGAAAGAUGCCUCAAGUUGGUACUGCACUAAGUGCUUCAGAACUUCUCGCUGAUUCUUUUAGAGUCUUUGAUGUAUCCAUGAAAGAGAACGCACUAUAGGUAGAUGGACAACUGUUCUAUAGAUUUGAAAAGGAGAAGGGAGGGGCUGGAUGUUCCUGAAUUCUACUGUUUCAGAUUAUGGUCAGUAGCAUGGAGCAUAUCACAUUUCUUUGUGUUACCACAACAACCCUACUGGCGGGUACAUAAGUGGGAGAGAACUGACUCCUGUUAGCUGGAGUCUAGCCUCUUGUUCAAUCCUGGCCAUCUGCAUGGUGGAAACUAACUGCCUUAGUUUGUCUUGGAGAUAUAACUUGCAGCCUCUGGUUCAAAUCUAUCAACCCCCACCCCCAAUUCUGUAGGUAAUACAUGGAAAAUAAUAUGGAUUCUUUACUUUUUAAUGUGGAUUUAGUUCUCAUCCAACUAUUUCCUGAGGCUUUGGGCCUUCCAGACAAACCUUGUUCGGAAACUUGAUGUGAAAAACUCACUUGUGUGCUCAAUGCAUCAACAUGAUUCAAUUUGGGAUUAUAUGCAAGUAAGAGAAAUCUGCACACAAGUGACCAGUAAGUAAAAAAGUGAAGAAAAAUGCUGGAAAAUACUAGUUAAGAGUUAGUCUUGGUGAUAACUAUAGAGCAAAUGGUAUUUAUUGUCACUUAGGAAUCCUGGUCCCAUUUUCACUACUUUGGGCAUUAAAAUCUAAAUCACAUUAAUACAAUUUCCCAACUAAAUAGAAAGGAGAGGUAUUUCAGAUAUAUGUAGAAGUGAAACUUUAUUGACGUAAUUUAUACAUCUAAGAGGAUUUCACUAAAGCUGGCAAGGUAACGUUUCUGCAAAUAAAACAGUAAAUGCAAGGCUGGGCUCUGUGCCAGGGAGAAUAUGGAUAGCAGAGAGCAUGGCAGGAACCUCCUUUUUGCAAAGACAAUCCGGUUUCAAGGCAGCCUCCUACCACUUGCAAAAUAAACGACUGGAGUAAUGUUUCCAAUAAGGAUUUACCCUUCCUAACAAUGGGUCAUUUAUAUGAUUGCAAUAAACUAGUUUUCAUACAUCACCUGUGUUUCCUACACUCUUCUCCCUUCUUUUGCUCCCCCUUCCCUUCCCCCUCUUUCUCAGAUCUUCCUUUCUCUCCCUCUCUUAGUAUCUCUGUGAACUCUAGACAAGGAUUUACUUUUGCAACCUAGAAGACAGGAGAAAGUUAGAAAUGUUUUUUAUCCCGGGUCUGUCCUCUGAGGAACAUCUGUUUCUUUGUGUGUUUAAAUUUAUGCCUGUUGGAGAGAAAGUUACCAGAAGCCAUUCUGUAACUGUAACUCUUCUACGGUAUUUUUCUCAGUCUAGUUUGCAAAGGCUGUAGUUGGAACUGGGCUUUGUAGUGUUCCCCCGCCUUCCACCCUCCUCCGGAGCGGGGGAGGGAGCGGGAGCUGGCACAGAUAGGAGAGAAAGCAGGAGCGGAUGUGGAGGGCUUUGGUGCUGAACUUGGAUCCAGCCCUUGCCUAGAGGGCGCAAACAAUCGUCCCAUAUCCAAAAGUCUUACGAAGGGCGCCAAAAGUUACUUAAGAUAAUAUUGCUAACCGCAGAAUGCUGGAAAUCGCGGGCACAUCCACUGCUGCAACAAAAGAAGUUUCUAAAGUGGAAAUAUCAGCAUUCAAUUACUUUUUCCCAUUUAAAAAAAGAAGACAUGGCAACAGGCAGUUAUUUAAAAAAAUCCCCUUGAGAAUCAAAAGUAAAAUUCUUUGCUGUUUUGAAAAGAGGCAGAUGUGAAGUGUAUCUAUACACC